This 81-nucleotide microRNA precursor is filed under the name Chinchilla lanigera (long-tailed chinchilla). RNAcentral's name for it is "miRNA (ENSCLAG00000021296.1)". Lineage: Eukaryota; Metazoa; Chordata; Mammalia; Rodentia; Chinchillidae. The record is from RNAcentral.
CUAUGCUAGGGCUGCUGGGCCCUAAAGGAAGGCAGCAUGAUGUUGUGGGCAAAGGACUGGACUCGGAGUCAGAAGCCCUGA